This 253-nucleotide ribosomal RNA is filed under the name uncultured bacterium. RNAcentral describes it as "partial 16S ribosomal RNA". It matches the Rfam family "Bacterial small subunit ribosomal RNA", at positions 524 to 776 of the family's 1533-position model. The record is from RNAcentral.
GACAGAGGGUGCAACCGUUGUUCGGAAUCACUGGGCGUAAAGCGCGUGUAGGCGGCAAUGUAAGUCGGAUGUGAAAUCCCGCGGCUCAACCGUGGAAGUGCACCCGAAACUACAUAGCUAGAGUGUCGGAGAGGAAGGUGGAAUGCUUGGUGUAGAGGUGAAAUUCGUAGAUAUCAAGCGGAACACCGGUGGCGAAGGCGGCCUUCUGGACGACGACUGACGCUGAGACGCGAAAGCGUGGGUAGCAAACAGG